RNAcentral lists this ribosomal RNA (429 nucleotides) under uncultured bacterium. RNAcentral's name for it is "bacterial SSU rRNA". It matches the Rfam family "Bacterial small subunit ribosomal RNA", at positions 355 to 776 of the family's 1533-position model. The record is from RNAcentral.
UGGGGAAUAUUGGACAAUGGGCGAAAGCCUGAUCCAGCAAUGCCGCGUGUGUGAAGAAGGCCUGCGGGUUGUAAAGCACUUUCGGUUGGGAAGAAGUGUCGCAAACUAAUACCUUGCGACUUUGACACUACCUUCAGAAGAAGCACCGGCUAACUCCGUGCCAGCAGCCGCGGUAAUACGGAGGGUGCGAGCGUUAAUCGGAAUUACUGGGCGUAAAGCGCGCGUAGGCGGCCGAAUAAGUCGGAUGUGAAAUCCCUGGGCUUAACCUAGGAACUGCAUUCGAUACUGCUCGGCUAGAGUAUGGUAGAGGAAAGCGGAAUUCCCGGUGUAGCGGUGAAAUGCGUAGAUAUCGGGAGGAACAUCAGUGGCGAAGGCGGCUUUCUGGACCAAUACUGACGCUGAGGCGCGAAAGCGUGGGUAGCAAACAGG